Molecule: unclassified non-coding RNA, 378 nt
Filed under: plant metagenome
Description: partial contains 5.8S ribosomal RNA, internal transcribed spacer 2, and large subunit ribosomal RNA
Rfam family: 5.8S ribosomal RNA (bases 1-105)
Source: RNAcentral
GAAAUGCGAUAAGUAAUGUGAAUUGCAGAAUUCAGAGAAUCAUCGAAUCUUUGAACGCACCUUGCGCUCCUUGGUAUUCCUUGGAGCAAGCCUGUUUGAGUAUCAUGAAAUCUUCAAAGUAAAUCUUUUGUUAACUCAAUUGGUUUCUACUUUGGUAUUGGAGGUCUUUGCAGCUUCACACCUGCUCCUCUUUGUUCAUUAGCUGGAUCUCAGUGUUAUGCUUGGUUCCACUCGGCGUGAUAAGUUAUCUAUCGCUGAGGACACUGUAAAAGGUGGCCAAGGUAAAUGCAGAUGAACCGCUUCUAAUAGUCCAUUGACUUGGACAAUACUUUUAUGAUCUGAUCUCAAAUCAGGUAGGACUACCCGCUGAACUUAAGC